This is a long non-coding RNA of Bombina bombina (fire-bellied toad), 191 nucleotides long. RefSeq lists it as uncharacterized. The transcript is spliced from 3 exons. The record is from RefSeq and is a predicted model, not a curated record. NCBI's taxonomy places the organism in Eukaryota, Metazoa, Chordata, Amphibia, Anura, Bombinatoridae.
CACUGACAUGGACCGAGUCCUCUUGAAGUAUACCGAGUACACGGAGCCGCAUGAAAGCCGGACUAAUACAGACAUCCUGGAGACCUUGAAGCGUAGAAGACUCGGACUGGAGUUGGAAGAAGGACUUGAGCACGAGGAGACAAUGAGGAGGCAGACUUUGCUUCUUGGUCAUGGUACCCCAUACCCAACAU